UACGAAGGGUGCAAGCGUUACUCGGAAUUACUGGGCGUAAAGGGUGCGUAGGUGGUCGUUUAAGUCCGUUGUGAAAUCCCUGGGCUCAACCUGGGAAUGGCAGUGGAUACUGGACGGCUAGAAUGCGGUAGAGGGUAGUGGAAUUCCCGGUGUAGCAGUGAAAUGCGUAGAUAUCAGGAGGAACACCGGUGGCGAAGGCGGCUAUCUGGACAGAAACUGACGCUGAGGCGCGAAAGCGUGGGGAGCAAACAGG
This 253-nucleotide ribosomal RNA is filed under the name uncultured bacterium. RNAcentral's name for it is "partial 16S ribosomal RNA". It matches the Rfam family "Bacterial small subunit ribosomal RNA", at positions 524 to 776 of the family's 1533-position model. The record is from RNAcentral.